AGUGAGCGCUGGCGGCGUGCUUAACACAUGCAAGUCGAACGAGAGCGGAUUAUAGCUUGCUAUAAUUGUCAGCUAAGUGGCGCACGGGUGAGUAAUGUAUAGGUAAUAUGCCUCUUACUAAGGGAUAACAGAUGGAAACGUUUGCUAAUACCUUAUACUCCUUAUUAACAUAAGUUAAUAAGGGAAAGAUUUAUUGGUAAGAGAUUAGCCUGUAUUGUAUCAGUUAGUUGGUGGGGUAAUGGCUUACCAAGACUAUGACACAUAACUGGUUUGAGAGGAUGAUCAGUCACACUGGAACUGAGACACGGUCAGACUCCUACGGGAGGCAGCAGUGGGGAAUAUUGCACAAUGGACGAAAGUCUGAUGCAGCAACGCCGCGUGGAGGAUGACACAUUUCGGUGCGUAAACUCCUUUUAUAUGAGAAGAUAAUGACGGUAUUAUAUGAAUAAGCACCGGCUAACUCCGUGCCAGCCGCCGCAGUAA
RNAcentral lists this ribosomal RNA (483 nucleotides) under uncultured bacterium. Its description in RNAcentral is "partial 16S ribosomal RNA". It matches the Rfam family "Bacterial small subunit ribosomal RNA", at positions 29 to 523 of the family's 1533-position model. The record is from RNAcentral.